CAUGUUUUGCUAACUAUUCCUCAUAUUUCGUUUACUGAUCUACACUUACAAAUGCGCUUCCAGAGUUUUCAUUUACGCUUCUGAAGUUUUCGUUUACACUCCCUGAGUUUGCGUUCGCUGUUCUGACACAAAUCUCUCGUGGGGGCGGGGCUAGUAGCAGUCUAUUCUCAUUGGCUACUGAGUUUUUGAUUGACAGCUUCUUGACCUGGAAGUGAAGACGUCAGUGAGUGUUGUGAUUACACGUUUGGAUGUGAGCGUCUGUAAGCGUAGCUUUCUAUUUCAUUUAGGUGAUAUUAAGUUUAUUUCUUUAUUUAUUUACUGCUACACUAUAUUGUUGAUAUGAUUUCUUAUAGAAGGAAUAGUACAGACAAAUGAUAUAAUUUGUCAUCGUCGAUAUCAGAAUACUGGAUAGCAUAGGCUACUCGUGGUGGAGAGGCAUAUUAGAGCUCAGUGAGAGCCCAUAACAUUAUACAGCAGUGUUGUCUUGAUUUAAUUGGGAUUUGAGCAACUUUUCCACAAACAAAAUUCUGAUGCUGACACAGAGGAUGGAGUGAUAAUACCAGAGAUCAGCGUCUCCAUCAGACUAUAAUGUUACUUUGUUCAGACAUAUCACCUUUGAAUGACUGGGAUCCUUAUCUUCAGACACCUGUUGUAUUUUAUUUUAAUAUUAUAAAAUAGCAAAUAUUUUAAUUUCUUUGGAGCUCUAGAUUAAAACAAACACAGUACACAAGAGGUUGCAGUUUAUUCUUAUUAGUCUCUGCUGAUCAUGGAUUAGCAUACCAACAGCAUAUGAAUGGAAUAGUUCAUCCAAAAAUAAAAUUCUCACUUAUUUUACUCACCCUCA
Non-coding RNA from Pimephales promelas (fathead minnow), 844 nucleotides. The record is from RefSeq and is a predicted model, not a curated record. Lineage: Eukaryota; Metazoa; Chordata; Actinopteri; Cypriniformes; Leuciscidae.